UACGUAGGCAGCGAGCGUUGUCCGGAUUUACUGGGCGUAAAGGGUGCGUAGGCGGUGGGGUAAGUUUGAGGUGAAAGCUCCGGGCUCAACCCGGAAAAUGCCUUGAAAACUAUCCGGCUAGAGGGUUGGAGGGGAGACUGGAAUUCUCGGUGUAGCAGUGAAAUGCGUAGAUCUCGAGAGGAACACCAGUGGCGAAGGCGGGUCUCUGGACAACACCUGACGCUGAGGCACGAAAGCCAGGGGAGCAAACGGG
RNAcentral lists this ribosomal RNA (253 nucleotides) under uncultured bacterium. RNAcentral's name for it is "partial 16S ribosomal RNA". It matches the Rfam family "Bacterial small subunit ribosomal RNA", at positions 524 to 776 of the family's 1533-position model. The record is from RNAcentral.